CUAUAUGUCGCCUGAAGGUAAGGUUCUUGCAGAUCAUGAAUGAAUUGAAUAAUUACACUUACGGAGUAUGCUAUGUCUAAUCUAGUGUGAGCUAGAUAUAUGAACCUCCCACUGACCUCUGGUACAUUUCUCUAUUCAUUACAGUUUCUUUUU
Long non-coding RNA from Cucurbita moschata (crookneck pumpkin), 153 nucleotides. RefSeq lists it as uncharacterized. The record is from RefSeq and is a predicted model, not a curated record. NCBI's taxonomy places the organism in Eukaryota, Viridiplantae, Streptophyta, Magnoliopsida, Cucurbitales, Cucurbitaceae. The transcript is spliced from 3 exons.